GACGAACGCUGGCGGCGUGCUUAACACAUGCAAGUCGAACGGUGAAGCGCCUUCCUUUUUGGUGGGUGUGGAUGAGUGGCGAACGGGUGAGUAACACGUGAGUAACCUGCCCCCUUCUUCUGGAUAACCGCAUGAAAGUGUGGCUAAUACGGGAUAUUCUGGGUCUGUCGCAUGAUGGGUCUGGGAAAGAUAUUGUUUCGGUGGGGGAUGGGCUCGCGGCCUAUCAGCUUGUUGGUGGGGUGAUGGCCUACCAAGGCGGUGACGGGUAGCCGGCCUGGGAGGGUGGACGGUCACACUGGGAGUGAGGCACGGUCGAGACUCCUACGGGAGGCAGCAGUGGAGAAUAUUGCACAAUGGGCGCAAGCCUGAUGCAGCGACGCCGCGUGAGGGAUGGAGGCCUUCGGGUUGUGAACCUCUUUCGCCAGUGAAGCAGGCCUGCCUCGUUUGUGGGUGGGUUGACGGUAGCUGGAUAAGAAGCGCCGGCUAACUACGUG
Molecule: ribosomal RNA, 494 nt
Filed under: uncultured bacterium
Lineage: Bacteria
Description: partial 16S ribosomal RNA
Rfam family: Bacterial small subunit ribosomal RNA
Source: RNAcentral